Molecule: ribosomal RNA, 254 nt
Filed under: uncultured bacterium
Lineage: Bacteria
Description: partial 16S ribosomal RNA
Rfam family: Bacterial small subunit ribosomal RNA
Source: RNAcentral
GACGAACCGUGCGAACGUUAUUCGGAAUCACUGGGCUUAAAGCGCGUGUAGGCGGGACGGCACGUCUGUCGCUGAAAUCCCCCGGCUUAACCGGGGAACUGGCGGAGAUACGACCGUCCUGGAGGGGCGUAGGGGGACCUGGAACUUCCGGUGGAGCGGUGAAAUGCGUCGAGAUCGGAAGGAACGCCCGUGGCGAAAGCGAGGUCCUGGACGCCUACUGACGCUGAGACGCGAAAGCCAGGGGAGCGAACGGG